RNAcentral lists this ribosomal RNA (492 nucleotides) under uncultured bacterium. Its description in RNAcentral is "partial 16S ribosomal RNA". It matches the Rfam family "Bacterial small subunit ribosomal RNA", at positions 29 to 507 of the family's 1533-position model. The record is from RNAcentral.
AGUGAACGCUGGCGGUAGGCCUAACACAUGCAAGUCGAACGGCAGCACAGUAAGAGCUUGCUCUUACGGGUGGCGAGUGGCGGACGGGUGAGGAAUACAUCGGCAUCUACUUUUUCGUGGGUGAUAACGUAGGGAAACUUACGCUAAUACCGCAUACUACCUACGGGUGAAAUCAGGGGAUCUUCGGACCUUUCGCGAUUGAAUGAGCCGAUGUCGGAUUAGCUAGUUGGCGGGGUAAAGGCCCACCAAGGCGACGAUCCGUAGCUGGUCUGAGAGGAUGAUCAGCCACACUGGAACUGAGACACGGUCCAGACUCCUACGGGAGGCAGCAGUGGGGAAUAUUGGACAAUGGGCGCAAGCCUGAUCCAGCCAUACCGCGUGGGUGAAGAAGGCCUUCGGGUUGUAAAGCCCUUUUGUUGGGAAAGAAAAGCAGCAGGAUAAUACCCCGCUGUUCUGACGGUACCCAAAGAAUAAGCACCGGCUAACUUCGUG